RNAcentral lists this ribosomal RNA (389 nucleotides) under Limosilactobacillus fermentum. RNAcentral's name for it is "partial 16S ribosomal RNA". The record is from RNAcentral. Lineage: Bacteria; Bacillati; Bacillota; Bacilli; Lactobacillales; Lactobacillaceae.
GGGGGGGGGWGAGGAGARGKGSKRGWGWYGUGAGGGUUUCCGCCCUUCAGUGCCGGAGCUAACGCAUUAAGCACUCCGYYUGGGGAGUACGACCGCAAGGUUGAAACUCAAAGGAAUUGACGGGGGCCCGCACAAGCGGUGGAGCAUGUGGUUUAAUUCGAAGCUACGCGAAGAACCUUACCAGGUCUUGACAUCUUGCGCCAACCCUAGAGAUAGGGCGUUUCCUUCGGGAACGCAAUGACAGGUGGUGCAUGGUCGUCGUCAGCUCGUGUCGUGAGAUGUUGGGUUAAGUCCCGCAACGAGCGCAACCCUUGUUACUAGUUGCCAGCAUUAAGUUGGGCACUCUAGUGAGACUGCCGGUGACAAACCGGAGGAAGGUGGGGAUGACG